RNAcentral lists this unclassified non-coding RNA (250 nucleotides) under plant metagenome. RNAcentral's name for it is "partial contains small subunit ribosomal RNA, internal transcribed spacer 1, and 5.8S ribosomal RNA". The stretch from base 201 to 250 matches the Rfam family "5.8S ribosomal RNA", at positions 1 to 50 of the family's 154-position model. The record is from RNAcentral.
GUAGGUGAACCUGCGGAAGGAUCAUUAUUGAAUGAAUGUAGAGUCGGUUGUCGCUGGUCCUUUCGGGGACAUGUGCACGCCUUCUCUUUCAUCCACACACACCUGUGCACUCGUGAGACGGAAGCCCUCGGGCGUCCGUCUGCUCUACAUAAACUCAUAUCUAUAAUUUGAAUGUAAUUGAUGUAACACAUCUUUAAACUAAGUUUCAACAACGGAUCUCUUGGCUCUCGCAUCGAUGAAGAACGCAGCA